Molecule: long non-coding RNA, 759 nt
Filed under: Priapulus caudatus
Lineage: Eukaryota; Metazoa; Priapulida; Priapulimorpha; Priapulimorphida; Priapulidae
Description: uncharacterized LOC106819269, transcript variant X2
Source: RNAcentral
UUGUCAUGGAUACGGACACGCACAUCCGUCCGGCUGCGGCAAUAAAGCUUCUCUACAUGCGACCCACAAACGAUCCCAUCAGUAAAAUUGUGUGUAGGAGUUGGGAGAGAGAUCUGUCCGUACAUCAUGUGAGCCUGUUGUCGUCUACUACGUGCAGCUGCUGCCUAGAUACCUGCUGAGUAACACAGAGACGCUGCCUCCCUCUCUACAGCUACUCAACGGUUACCUGGUUGGCUACCUGAAGACGUGAGAUGCUGCAGGAGACAGACAGACAGACAGACAGACAGACAGACAGACAGACAGACAGACAGACAGACAGACAGACAGGUUGGCUACCUGAAGACGUGAGCUGCUGCAGGAGACAUAUAUAUGUAUAUAUAUAGAGAGAGAGAGAUAGAGGGAGAGAGAGAGAGAGAGCACUGAGGGACGAUGGCUGGUCGGAUAGCAAUGCUAGAUCUACUGCAGAAUGACUGGAAGUCAUAUCACUCUCACUGAAAUUAUGAAUAGGUGCGUGUGCGUGUGUGUGCGUGUGUGCGUGCGUGUGCGUGUGCGUGUGGGUGCGCAUGCGUGCGUGUUCACGUGUUUCAGCGUGUGUUUUUGUACGUUCAUAUGUCUGUGCGUGUGAUGCUAAUAAUCAUAUAUUAUAUAUAAUCAUCAUUCCAACGAUAUCUCAUGUUUUAUAUCGUAAUGCUUUGAUGAGAUGUAUCAUGUAGCGCUUACUUAAUAAAGACACACCAUGUCACGUCAAUGUUAAUGUAA